GACGAACGCUGGCGGCGUGCUUAACACAUGCAAGUCGAACGGAAAGGCCCUGCUUGCAGGGUACUCGAGUGGCGAACGGGUGAGUAACACGUGGGUGAUCUGCCCUGCACUUCGGGAUAAGCCUGGGAAACUGGGUCUAAUACCGGAUAGGAGCCAUUUUCAGUGUGAUGGUUGGAAAGUUUUUUCGGUGUAGGAUGAGCUCGCGGCCUAUCAGCUUGUUGGUGGGGUAAUGGCCUACCAAGGCGGCGACGGGUAGCCGGCCUGAGAGGGUGGACGGCCACAUUGGGACUGAGAUACGGCCCAGACUCCUACGGGAGGCAGCAGUGGGGAAUAUUGCACAAUGGGCGCAAGCCUGAUGCAGCGACGCCGCGUGGGGGAUGACGGCCUUCGGGUUGUAAACUCCUUUCGCUAGGGACGAAGCUUUUUGUGACGGUACCUAGAGAAGAAGCACCGGCUAACUACGUG
This 465-nucleotide ribosomal RNA is filed under the name uncultured bacterium. Its description in RNAcentral is "partial 16S ribosomal RNA". It matches the Rfam family "Bacterial small subunit ribosomal RNA", at positions 28 to 507 of the family's 1533-position model. The record is from RNAcentral.